Molecule: long non-coding RNA, 214 nt
Filed under: Brassica napus (rape)
Lineage: Eukaryota; Viridiplantae; Streptophyta; Magnoliopsida; Brassicales; Brassicaceae
Description: long non-coding RNA (BNAP_LNC013695)
Source: RNAcentral
UAAACAUAAUAAUAUCCAUAAUAUAAAACAUUCAAAAUACAAAUUAAUUAAAACUGAAAAAAACUAAGCAUUAAGGUUUAUUUCGUCGAAGAAGUCGGAUGAUGUGCCGGAGGUAGAAGCUGAUGGAUCCGGCUGUCUGAGAAAGGUACUCCCGUAAGAGUUUCUAGACGCAAGGUUCCUAAGUCUCUUUCUACCGCCAGCCAUAGCAAUAUCG